UAGUUUACCGAGUCGUGAAGGAUGAAGAACCGUAGAGGUUCGAGGUUCGAGGUUCGAGCAUCGCGCAGCGAUACGACAACGCGCAGCGUUGCCCGCAGGGUGAGGCCAAAGGCCGAAUCAAUCCUGCACGACCCACCA
RNAcentral lists this small RNA (138 nucleotides) under Serratia marcescens. RNAcentral describes it as "RtT sRNA". It matches the Rfam family "RtT RNA". Rfam says of the family: This family represents a bacterial cis-regulatory element known as RtT RNA. Lineage: Bacteria; Pseudomonadati; Pseudomonadota; Gammaproteobacteria; Enterobacterales; Yersiniaceae. The record is from RNAcentral.